Molecule: regulatory RNA element, 46 nt
Organism: Pelecanus crispus (Dalmatian pelican)
Lineage: Eukaryota; Metazoa; Chordata; Aves; Pelecaniformes; Pelecanidae
Rfam family: Histone 3' UTR stem-loop
About the family: The mRNAs of metazoan histone genes lack a poly-A tail.
Source: Rfam
CCAAAGGCUCUUUUCAGAGCCACCCACUGCGUCAGGAAAAGGGCUG